GGAAUCUUAGACAAUGGGGGCAACCCUGAUCUAGCCAUGCCGCGUGAGUGACGAAGGCCUUAGGGUCGUAAAGCUCUUUCGCCUGUGAUGAUAAUGACAGUAGCAGGUAAAGAAACCCCGGCUAACUCCGUGCCAGCAGCCGCGGUAAUACGGAGGGGGUUAGCGUUGUUCGGAAUUACUGGGCGUAAAGCGCGCGUAGGCGGAUGUUCAAGUCGGGGGUGAAAUCCCGGGGCUCAACCCCGGAACUGCCUCCGAUACUGGACGUCUGGAGGACGGGAGAGGCGAGUGGAAUGCCGAGUGUAGAGGUGAAAUUCGUAGAUAUUCGGCGGAACACCCGUGGCGAAGGCGGCUCGCUGGUCCGUUUCUGACGCUGAGGCGCGAAAGCGUGGGGAGCAAAC
This 398-nucleotide ribosomal RNA is filed under the name uncultured bacterium. RNAcentral's name for it is "bacterial SSU rRNA". It matches the Rfam family "Bacterial small subunit ribosomal RNA", at positions 358 to 773 of the family's 1533-position model. The record is from RNAcentral.